UACGUAGGGUGCAAGCGUUUAUCCGGAAUUAUUGGGCGUAAAGAGCUCGUAGGCGGUUUGUCGCGUCUGCUGUGAAAACUGGGGGCUCAACCCCCAGCCUGCAGUGGGUACGGGCAGACUAGAGUGCGGUAGGGGAGAUUGGAAUUCCUGGUGUAGCGGUGGAAUGCGCAGAUAUCAGGAGGAACACCGAUGGCGAAGGCAGAUCUCUGGGCCGUAACUGACGCUGAG
Molecule: ribosomal RNA, 228 nt
Filed under: uncultured bacterium
Lineage: Bacteria
Description: partial 16S ribosomal RNA
Rfam family: Bacterial small subunit ribosomal RNA
Source: RNAcentral